AAGGAAGCUUGCUUAAUGCAGAGCCUCUUUUGGGUGCAUCAAUUGGUCGAGCUGUCAAUAUCAAAGUCUGGGCCGAGGCUUUAGGACCAUGUGUCGAGUCAAGAUUGGAUCUAUCUAGCCUUAAAGAGCUGUCCUUAGGCCUGAUAGAGGUCGUAGGCCAAGGUGUUAUAGCAAAAUCCUUUACAAUCACCAUGGUCAAAGUCUUAGAUGCAACAAUCAAGGCAUUCUGAGCUGAUAGUGAAGGGUCUGGAGGUCAAUCUGCCCAGGCGACUUUGGCAAUUGCAAUUAGAUCGAUGGAUAUGAAGGAUGGGGCUAAGGAAGGGGUAGUCAUUGCACCGUCCAAGAUUAUGGAAGUGACUGUAGGCCCCUCCCAGCAUGCAGUCGAGGCUUACCUUUCUAUCCUCUGACUGAUCUUUUUCUUCCUGCUUCUCUUGAGUAGGUCCUUCAUCCUCCUACUUCUGACUGGACAGGUAGGAAAGAUGAGUCAGUGAUCUUCAAGUACUAUCGAUCUUGAGAGAUAAUUAAAAGGCUGAUACCUCAAUGGGAUAAAAAGUAUCUUGCCAGCAUGAUUGACAAGGAGGCUCUCUUGAGUGCGUAUCACAGCACCAUGAUGGUAAGUCUACCACCUUUCGAUGCUUGUUCUACAAGAACAGCUAAAGAAUAGAAAGAAAGAGAGAAAGAGAAAGGAAGGGAAGGAGAAGCGAAGGCGAUUGUGGAGAGGAGAAGGGAAGGCUAGUGUAGAGCAUGGAUCUCUUUUUGCCACUUCCUCUAACCUUUUUUUUAGUUCGGGCCUCUAGUAGAAGAGUCCCCCAAUUAAGAAUAUACGAUGAGUCUUCUAAUCUUCAUGAUGGGUUAUAGAGGAACAAGGUGAUGAAGAGAAGAAGGGUCUUAGGGCUAGGCUCUCAAUUUUGGCAUAAUAUUCUUAAGGCUCUCUAAUUUCUCCCCUUUUCUCAUGAGAGAAUAGUUUGUUAAUUGAUGGAAAGGAGAAGGAUCAAGUGCUACGAUCAAAGGUUCUAGGAUAUUCUUAGGAUCUAAGGACUAUGAAAGGGGUGCUAGAUGGAGUGUUUUGAUGGGUGGAAACAAAUUCACAUGGAUUGCUUAGAGAGUCCUAAGAUGGUUGUCUAGGAUUCUGAGAAUUUAGAGAGAAGAGUAUACUUUCUUAUGAAUUGAAAAGCUAGGAUUAACAAUGAUAAAAGAGAAACUAUAGGUAAAUCUAGGAUUUAGGAAAUGAUAUUAAUGCAAAUAAUCCUAGAUAAUUUAAUAGAAGAGGUGAUAGACUUGGGGAGGCCCGAUGCAAAACAUCUAAUUAGGUAAAUACAUAUAAUAAAUCUUAACUUGGACAAAGUUAGUCAUUUAUAGGGAAAAUCUCUAGUUUAUCUUAGUAAGAGAGAAAAUGGUACGAGAGAGAGAUAGACUUUAGAAUAGGAUAUGUAUCCUCAGACGCUUUGCAUGAUCACAG
RNAcentral lists this long non-coding RNA (1459 nucleotides) under Elaeis guineensis (African oil palm). RNAcentral's name for it is "long non-coding RNA (EGUI_LNC035532)". The record is from RNAcentral. Lineage: Eukaryota; Viridiplantae; Streptophyta; Magnoliopsida; Arecales; Arecaceae.